This 253-nucleotide ribosomal RNA is filed under the name uncultured bacterium. RNAcentral's name for it is "partial 16S ribosomal RNA". It matches the Rfam family "Bacterial small subunit ribosomal RNA", at positions 524 to 776 of the family's 1533-position model. The record is from RNAcentral.
UACGUAGGGUGCGAGCGUUAAUCGGAAUUACUGGGCGUAAAGCGUGCGCAGGCGGUUGUGCAAGACAGGUGUGAAAUCCCCGGGCUUAACCUGGGAACUGCGCUUGUGACUGCACGGCUAGAGUACGGCAGAGGGGGGUGGAAUUCCUGGUGUAGCAGUGAAAUGCGUAGAUAUCAGGAGGAACACCGAUGGCGAAGGCAGCCCCCUGGGCCUGUACUGACGCUCAUGCACGAAAGCGUGGGGAGCAAACAGG